RNAcentral lists this ribosomal RNA (465 nucleotides) under uncultured Klebsiella sp. RNAcentral describes it as "bacterial SSU rRNA". It matches the Rfam family "Bacterial small subunit ribosomal RNA", at positions 338 to 795 of the family's 1533-position model. Lineage: Bacteria; Pseudomonadati; Pseudomonadota; Gammaproteobacteria; Enterobacterales; Enterobacteriaceae. The record is from RNAcentral.
CCUACGGGGGGCAGCAGUGGGGGAUAUUGCACAAUGGGCGCAAGCCUGAUGCAGCCAUGCCGCGUGUGUGAAGAAGGCCUUCGGGUUGUAAAGCACUUUCAGCGGGGAGGAGGGCGGUGAGGUUAAUAACCUCAUCGAUUGACGUUACCCGCAGAAGAAGCACCGGCUAACUCCGUGCCAGCAGCCGCGGUAAUACGGAGGGUGCAAGCGUUAAUCGGAAUUACUGGGCGUAAAGCGCACGCAGGCGGUCUGUCAAGUCGGAUGUGAAAUCCCCGGGCUCAACCUGGGAGCUGCAUUCGAAACUGGCAGGCUAGAGUCUUGUAGAGGGGGGUAGAAUUCCAGGUGUAGCGGUGAAAUGCGUAGAGAUCUGGAGGAAUACCGGUGGCGAAGGCGGCCCCCUGGACAAAGACUGACGCUCAGGUGCGAAAGCGUGGGGAGCAAACAGGAUUAGAUACCCCUGUAGUC